AUUGAGUACUUGGAGGAUAGCUGCCAGAGGUUCUCUAUUCUCUCAUAAAAACAACAAACUGGCUGCCAUCCAGUCAGUGCUGACUCAUAGCGACUCCCUGUGGCUUUCCCAGACUGCAACUGUUGCCCAGUUGUUCUCCUGCAGCGCUGCUGAUGGUUUCAAACUGCUGACAUAGGGUGCUGUGUGGGUCAUGGCCCCACGUGUAGCCAUGACACCACUCUCAGAAGUCCUAUGUCUUAGAAGAAAUGGACUGACAAUGGACACGAGUGAGCUAUUCUUAAAGACUGACAAACCUCCACAAAAUGUCGCGGACGCCUGUGGAUGAUGGAGCUCCCUGUCGAUUUCCAGAGUGUGCUUCCAAGCCCCUCCAGGGAACAUGACCCUUCUGCUCUGUGUUGACAUGCUUGAAGAACGUCCACCCCUCAGCCUGUGCCUCCCACCCAACCCUCGCCAUGGUCUUCUCAGCAAUGUGGGCUGCGUCCCGCCCCGCGGCACCCAACACCACAGUGGUGGUCUAUGAAAACGCCUACCUGAACGUGACGGGUCCUCCACCGUUGCAGCACCCCAGCAUCGGGCCACUGCUUAGACACAGUCUAGAAUCCAUGGCUCCGACUGGGCUGAGCUCCUGGACAGCGAACAGCACAGCGGGACCCCCCACACCAGCAGGCUUUAAGAGCCUGAACUUGCCUCUCCAGAUCUUCUUUUCUGCUGUCAUGAUGUUUAUUCUGGUGGUGGCUUUUCUGGGGAACCUGGUGGUUUGCCUCAUGGUUUACCAAAAAGCUGCCAUGCGAUCUGCAAUUAACAUCCUCCUUGCCAGCCUGGCUUUUGCAGACAUGUUGCUUGCAGCGCUGAACAUGCCCUUUGCCCUGGUUACUGUUCUCACUACCAGAUGGAUUUUUGGGAAGUUCUUCUGUCGGAUAUCUGCUAUGUUUUUUUGGCUGUUUGUGAUCGAGGGCGUCGCCAUCCUGCUCAUCAUUAGCAUUGAUCGCUUCCUUAUUAUAGUGCAGAGGCAGGAUAAGCUAAAUCCGUAUAGGGCUAAGGUUCUGAUAGCUGUUUCUUGGGCAGCUUCCUUUUGUAUAGCUUUCCCUUUGGCUGUAGGAAACCCUGACCUCCAGAUCCCUCCCCGAGCCCCUCAGUGUGUAUUUGGGUUCACAACGAAUUCUGGAUACCAAGCUUAUGUGAUCUUGAUUUCCCUCAUUUCUUUCUUUAUACCAUUUCUGGUGAUCCUGUAUUCGUUCAUGGGCAUACUCAACACCCUUCGGCACAACGCCCUGAGGAUCCACAGCUAUCCUGAGGGCAUAUGCCUCAGCCAGGCCAGCAAACUGGGUCUGAUGAGUCUCCAGAGGCCUUUCCAGAUGAGCAUUGACAUGGGCUUUAAAACACGUGCCUUCACCACCAUCUUGAAUCUCUUCGCUGUCUUCAUUGUCUGCUGGGCACCCUUCACCACGUACAGCCUUGUGGCCACGUUUAAUGAGCACUUUUAUUAUAAGCACACCUUUUUCGAGAUAAGCACCUGGUUGCUCUGGCUCUGCUACCUCAAGUCUGCCUUGAACCCGCUGAUUUACUACUGGAGGAUUAAGAAAUUCCACGAUGCCUGCCUGGACAUGAUGCCUAAGUCCUUCAAGUGUUUGCCUCGUCUUCCUGGUCAUACACGGCGACGAAUACGCCCCAGUGCCGUCUAUGUGUGUGAGCACCGGACUGUGGUGUGACUGUCGGAACAGUUGGACCUUUUCGGUGAUGGUUGUCAUUGAUCUGACCUUGAAUUUUAUUUCACAUGGCUUUCUCACAUAGACUUAUUGUUUCCAUAAGAUUUGUGGGGUGUGCAUGCACAUGCGCGCGCGCUUGCGCGCAGUGUGGAAAAGGAUGGCAAUCCGUUCUAAUUCUGUUACCAAGGAUUGGUGUCCGGUUUGUGGGGGCGCGUCCCACUCCUGGCACCUUCCUGCGUGCCGAGUAGAACUACUCAUAGGGUUUCGGUGGCUGUGACUUCUCCGAGGCACAUCUCCAGGCCUGCCCUCCAAGACACCGCUGGAUGGGUUUCGCACUGCCAGUCUUGGCUCGUGGUCCAGCAUCUAAUCGUUUGUGCCCCCCAAGCAUUCCUGUUCUAAAGGGGACACAGUGGGAGAGGGACCACAAAUUUUACCAACCGAGUUUAAGCGAAAGCCUUGCUUUAAGGUGGACAGGCAUAUCUUUGCUUGAUUUUAUUUUUGAAACGAGAAUCAAGGUUACACUUUUUUGAGCCUGAGAUUGCGUUACAUUGUAGGUGUUUUUAUAUGCUGCUAAAGUGUGCUAAGUUGAGUUUAUCAGUUUUUUUUCUUUCUCUUGGAAGACACUGCUGCUUUUACCCAUCACAUUGGAGCCAAAACCCCAUAAUCUCAAUAGGAGGGUAUGGAUCUUGGAAGAGCCCAGCCGACCAGCAUCACUCUGUGGUCUGCAGUAUUACUUGGUCACGUUGUCCUUCGUUAGCUGUUUCUCACCACUGAAGGUCGGAAGAGUGUGCCGCGUGGCGUCAGGAUUUGGGACUUUGAGGGAUUGAUGACAUCAUGAAAGAGGAGGAAAACUCUGCUCUUGAGGCCGUUGUGUCUGCCCUGGAGCUCACGGUUUGUUAGGGAACUCAAGUUUUGGUAUCAUCUUCAGAUGAUAGUCACCUACCUCUUUAAUUUCCAUUUUUAUAUUAUUCUUAUUCGCAGGUAAAAUUGUCCAUAAUCUUAACAGAACUUACGUACUGUAGUAGAUACAAGUAGCACGUUGGAUUGUACCAUGCUUCUCAUCGUUGCUCCAAACUGGAUUUGAAGCUGAUAAAUGAUAUAUCUAUGACAUUAGACUUUCUCGCAGGAAAGUUGGCAUGCUCUGCGUUCAUCUUCCGUGUUCACAGUGGGUCUUGACACGCCUUUUGUGGCUGGAGUUGAAAUGGAACUUCGUUUUCUUUGUUCAUUUUGAGCAAAUUCAGCAACCACACAGGACUGCCGUUCUCAUGACACUGGAUCACCUUGCUCAGAGAACAGUUUACACACCAUUUUGAACCUUUUAAUUAUGUGUUCGUUUGGAAGUACCAGAGGUACUGCGCCGAACCUUUGACAUGUUUCGGUGCAGAAUAAUUCUGUGUUGCCUGUGUUCCUUCAUACUUUCUUCAGGGGAAAAAAAUGCCACUACUGAUGUCACUGCUGACCUGCUUAGGGAGGAGUUGCUGUUUUGUUUUGACUCCUCCCUCUCCCCCCCAAUAAGGAAGAAGCAUGAAAGUGAUGGUGAGAUAUUUGUGGCCAGUAGAAAGGGGAGAAAUCCUAUGUCGUCUCAAAAAGUGAACUUCAAAUGUUAGCAAUCCCAGAGCCACGUCACUUGUUAACCAUGCAGGUUCUUGGGUCCCCAGAGCACUUAGGGUUCAGCCCAAGGAUCCAUAUUUUUAAAUUACUGCACACUCUUCCCGAUUCCGAUUCAGGUGCUCCCACUGGCAGAUCCCAAGAAGCACCCCUGUAGAGCCUAUGCCUGUUAAGGCAUCUGUUUCAUCUGAAAAUGCUUGCCUCGUGCUGGAAGCCACCGUCUUGUAGAUGCCUGCUCAAUCCACACUGAGAGAAAAAUCCACUCGUCUUUGUGCCUAAUUUGCAGCCAAGCGUGUUCGUGUUGAACCCGCCAGUGUUAGCUUCCCUUCCCUUCAGCUGGCAAGUCCUGAUUAACCGUACCCUCGAUGGGAGAGUGGAAAGGGACAUAAAGGUGGAAGUUAAGACUUUGAGGAGUCGUACUCUCUUUUCCCUUAGAAAGAUUUCUUUCUGGUAUGUAACAUACUGACACGAGUGUGAGAGGAAUGUAAAGGUGCGGCUAAAUCUAUUGCUUCUGCUUACCCCAGUCAUGUCCAGUGGAAGCAUGAAGUGAAAUAAAAUAAUCUUUUUAAUCUAUGUAUUUCUGUUGUGGACAGCAAUGUUUAAUUCUUCUCCAUCUCUGUGUUUACAUGAAAACAUUGGUGUAUAUAUCAAGGACAGUUCUUGGAAUUUUAGUUUAAGUUUAAAGGGCUGCUGAAUUUGAAUUUGUUUUUUACAGGCAUAAUUCCUAUAAACCGCCUUCAUCAAAAACUCAGUUUUCAUCAGAGUGAACAAAUUUAUGAAAGCACACAUUUGUUAUAGCAAGCAAAUGGUAACAAAUUUCUCUACUAUCCGAUCUACUGGUACUAGUCCUUUGUCAUGAAAAUUAAUUUAUUGUAAAAUAGCUGAUGGGUAUGGGAGACAUGCUCCUGGCAUUUUGGGUGGUUAAGAUUUAAAUUUCAAGAGAAGUAUGGUUCUUUGUGCAUGUUCUUCCUACCACCAGGAAAAUCCUGCCCAGCAAGAAAAGCCUUCCAUGUUGAAGCAUUUCUAAAGUGGCGUUUUCCUGGUUUUGUUUUUUUCAAAGGACGGCGUCACCUUUCCUUAGAAAAGUCUCUCAUGAAUCAUACUUUCUGUUACAUUAAAAUGUGAAUCUAGCAU
Molecule: RNA transcript, 4448 nt
Organism: Echinops telfairi (small Madagascar hedgehog)
Lineage: Eukaryota; Metazoa; Chordata; Mammalia; Afrosoricida; Tenrecidae
Gene: GPR63
Gene name: G protein-coupled receptor 63
Exons: 3
Source: RefSeq, a predicted model, not a curated record